RNAcentral lists this ribosomal RNA (482 nucleotides) under uncultured bacterium. RNAcentral describes it as "bacterial SSU rRNA". It matches the Rfam family "Bacterial small subunit ribosomal RNA", at positions 28 to 507 of the family's 1533-position model. The record is from RNAcentral.
GAUGAACGCUAGCGGCAGGCCUAAUACAUGCAAGUCGAACGGAUAUAUGUUUUUCGGAAUAUAUAUUAGUGGCGCACGGGUGAGUAACACGUACAUAACUUGCCCUCAAGCGGGGGAUAGCCUUGGGAAACUGAGAGUAAUACCCCAUAGAAUUAUUGGACGGCAUCGUUUGAUAAUUAAAACUACGGUGUUUGGGGAUAGAUGUGCGUCUGAUUAGCUAGUUGGUGAGGUAACUGCUCACCAAGGCGACGAUCAGUAGGGGGCGUGAGAGCGUGGCCCCCCACACGGGUACUGAGACACGGACCCGACUCCUACGGGAGGCAGCAGUAAGGAAUAUUGGUCAAUGGAGGGAACUCUGAACCAGCCAUGCCGCGUGAAGGAUGACGGCCCUCUGGGUUGUAAACUUCUUUUGGAUGGGGCGAAAAAACGGGAUUUAUCCUCGACUGACGGUACCAUAAGAAUAAGCACCGGCUAACUCCGUG